RNAcentral lists this ribosomal RNA (249 nucleotides) under uncultured bacterium. RNAcentral's name for it is "partial 16S ribosomal RNA". It matches the Rfam family "Bacterial small subunit ribosomal RNA", at positions 337 to 578 of the family's 1533-position model. The record is from RNAcentral.
UCCUACGGGGGGCAGCAGUAGGGAAUCUUCCACAAUGGACGAAAGUCUGAUGGAGCAACGCCGCGUGAGUGAAGAAGGGUUUCGGCUCGUAAAGCUCUGUUGGUAGUGAAGAAAAAUAGAGGAAGGAACUGGCCUUUAUUUGACGGGAAUUUCUUAGAAAGGCACGGCUAACUACGUGCCAGCAGCCGCGGUAAUACGUAGGUGGCGAGCGUUGUCCGGAUUUAUUGGGCGUAAAGCGAGUGCAGGCGG